This is a long non-coding RNA of Thamnophis elegans (Western terrestrial garter snake), 505 nucleotides long. RefSeq lists it as uncharacterized. Lineage: Eukaryota; Metazoa; Chordata; Lepidosauria; Squamata; Natricidae. The transcript is spliced from 3 exons. The record is from RefSeq and is a predicted model, not a curated record.
UCCAACCACCUCUCCUCCCCCUCCCCCCGUCGUGGAGUCGUGAGGGUUUCGAAGGAACCCUAAAGGUCAUCUAGUCCAACCCCGAACUCGAGGCAGGGUUUCUCAUCUCCUCUUCUUCUAGAUCUUCCUGGUGAUAUUUUUGCUCUUCUCUGCUGGGUCACAAGUCCUGGAUGGGGUGAAGGAUGCCAGGAAGAUAUUCCGAGAAGUGGAAGGAUCGGUUUUGAGGAGGAAAAAAAGCUUGAGAUGCGUAGGGCCAGAAAAUCAGAGCAACCCUGGACCCUCCUCCUCCAGGAAAUCCGCCCCUUGCCCCAAAGGAAACUACCGCGUGGACAGGGACAACUGUGACGAGUGCAAAUCUUGCACAGCUGCUAACACAAUUGUGGUGCGGGAGUGCCGAGACAAUCAGGACACUGAGUGUGGUUGCGCCGAGGGCUAUUUCAACCAAGCGGACGUUCCCCGUUUAUUUAGGUGCAUGAAAUGCACCAACUGCAGCACCCAGAACAGG